UGGGGAAUAUUGGGCAAUGGGGGAAACCCUGACCCAGCAACGCCGCGUGAAGGAAGAAGGCCUUCGGGUUGUAAACUUCCUUUACCAGGGACGAAGGAAGUGACGGUACCUGGAGAAAAAGCAACGGCUAACUACGUGCCAGCAGCCGCGGUAAUACGUAGGUUGCGAGCGUUGUCCGGAUUUACUGGGUGUAAAGGGCGUGUAGGCGGAGAAGCAAGUUGGGAGUGAAAUCUAUGGGCUCAACCCAUAAACUGCUCUCAAAAACUGUUUCCCUUGAGUAUCGGAGAGGCAAGCGGAAUUCCUAGUGUAGCGGUGAAAUGCGUAGAUAUUAGGAGGAACACCAGUGGCGAAGGCGGCUUGCUGGACGACAACUGACGCUGAGGCGCGAAAGCGUGGGGAGCAAACAGGAUUAGAUACC
RNAcentral lists this ribosomal RNA (418 nucleotides) under uncultured bacterium. Its description in RNAcentral is "bacterial SSU rRNA". It matches the Rfam family "Bacterial small subunit ribosomal RNA", at positions 355 to 786 of the family's 1533-position model. The record is from RNAcentral.